This 471-nucleotide ribosomal RNA is filed under the name uncultured bacterium. RNAcentral describes it as "bacterial SSU rRNA". It matches the Rfam family "Bacterial small subunit ribosomal RNA", at positions 335 to 799 of the family's 1533-position model. The record is from RNAcentral.
ACUCCUACGGGAGGCAGCAGUGGGGAAUAUUGCACAAUGGGGGAAACCCUGAUGCAGCCAUGCCGCGUGUGUGAAGAAGGCCUUCGGGUUGUAAAGCACUUUCAGUAGGGAGGAAGGUAGUGUAGUUAACACCUGCAUUAUUUGACGUUACCUACAGAAGAAGCACCGGCUAACUCCGUGCCAGCAGCCGCGGUAAUACGGAGGGUGCGAGCGUUAAUCGGAAUUACUGGGCGUAAAGCGCAUGCAGGCGGCCUGUUAAGUCAGAUGUGAAAGCCCGGGGCUUAACCUCGGAAUUGCAUUUGAAACUGGCAGGCUAGAGUCUUGUAGAGGGGGGUAGAAUUUCAGGUGUAGCGGUGAAAUGCGUAGAGAUCUGAAGGAAUACCAGUGGCGAAGGCGGCCCCCUGGACAAAGACUGACGCUCAGAUGCGAAAGCUGGGGAGCAAACAGGAUUAGAUACCCUGGUAGCACAGG